AAUAGCGUAUAUUAAAGUUGUUGCGGUUAAAAAGCUCGUAGUUGGUUCUGCGUGCCGCGCUGUCGGUUCGCCGCCUGUCGGUGUAACUGGCAUGUCGCGGCAUGUCCUGUCGGUGGUGAACGGAGUCCACGACGCUACAUGGGCUUUAUAGUCGAUGUUAGCAUCGUGUGUACUUCCGUUGGCCGAUCUCUCCUACUUCGGUGCUCUUAAACGAGUGUCGAGGUAGGCCGACACGUUCACUUUGAACAAAUUAGAGUGCUUAAAGCAGGCUGAAAUAUCUGCCUGAAUAGUGGUGCAUGGAAUGAUAAAACAGGACCUCGGUUCUAUUUUGUUGGUUUUAGGAAUAUGAGGUAAUGAUCAAUGUGGACUGGCGGGGGCAUUCGUAUUGCGACGUUAGAGGUGAAAUUCUUGGAUCGUCGCAAGACGCACUAGAGCGAAAGCAUUUGCCAAGUAUGUCUUAAUUGAUCAAGAACGAAAGUUAGAGGUUCGAAGGCGAUCAGAUACCGCCCUAGUUCUAACCAUAAACGAUGCCAGCCAGCGAUCCGCCGAUGUUCCUUUAAUGACUCGGCGGGGAGCUUCCACCCGGGAAACCAAAGC
This 597-nucleotide ribosomal RNA is filed under the name Triatoma rubrovaria. RNAcentral's name for it is "SSU rRNA". It matches the Rfam family "Eukaryotic small subunit ribosomal RNA", at positions 593 to 1104 of the family's 1831-position model. Lineage: Eukaryota; Metazoa; Arthropoda; Insecta; Hemiptera; Reduviidae. The record is from RNAcentral.